AUGGCGCACUACAAUCAUCAUCGAUAGUCAAUACAAUACGAUCGUAAACAUUAUCGAAUAGUUUAUUUGCGGUAUACGACAUAUAUAGAACUACGGCAGGUGGUAUUAAAAACAUUACUACAAUAGUGCACGAUGUUGCUAUACAUUAUAACAGGUAGUGUGUUUUCACUCGCAAUCUGCCGGCGCGCGAGUUAUCCCUCUCUCGAACACGGCACGACGAACGGAUACCGAGUAUAAUAUAUACAGGCGGUGAUUCAAAAGAAUAUACCACAUCUUCGAAAAUCGAUAUCUCCGCACGGAAGAAACGGAGUGCUGAUGAGCGCCAUUUGUCGUCGUUUAGGCGACUUUCUAAAGUGUCCACUCCGUUGGCAUCUGUCUGUUCACAAUAUGUAAACGAUGGAUCGGCAGCUAAGCGGCUUACCCCAACCCCCGCGGUUUUUUAACCUAUGGUGGUGUAUGUUAAAAAUACGAUUUUUCGACCAUCGCGGUUAUUACAGCGUCGUCGAGAUACCGCGGAGAACGUGGAACGAAUUUGAUGACUAUCGUCGGGUUGUUGAUGUCACACCACGUGUGUCUCAGGUGAGGAUUACACGAACGACUAUGAACACGUCUUGUUAUAUAAUGAAAAAAACAACUUUAUUUUGUACUGCUUAUAUUUUGCCCAAAGUCCCGCCGCGUUUCUUUUAAUAAAUACAGAUUUUCAAAUA
Molecule: long non-coding RNA, 707 nt
Organism: Rhopalosiphum padi (bird cherry-oat aphid)
Lineage: Eukaryota; Metazoa; Arthropoda; Insecta; Hemiptera; Aphididae
Exons: 2
Source: RefSeq, a predicted model, not a curated record